RNAcentral lists this ribosomal RNA (1017 nucleotides) under Triticum aestivum (bread wheat). RNAcentral's name for it is "partial small subunit ribosomal RNA". Lineage: Eukaryota; Viridiplantae; Streptophyta; Magnoliopsida; Poales; Poaceae. The record is from RNAcentral.
AUGGGGAUGCAAUCAGUGUGCGGAGGAGCAGGGCGGUGGCGGCGAGCAGUGGCGUGGUGGGGGGCCGUCCUGGUCCUCGCCCAUUUACUCAGCUGCGGCAGCGCGGGGCUCCUGGACACCAACCCGGGCUUGGCCUAUAACUUCUACGCGACGACGUGCCCCAGCGCCGAGGCCACCGUCCGGAGCAUCACCUGGGCGCAGGUCGCCGCCAACCAGGCCCUCCCCGGCCAGCUCCUCAGGCUGCACUUCCACGACUGCUUCGUCAAGGGCUGCGACGCGUCCAUCCUGCUGGACAACGCGCAGAGCGAGAAGACGGCGCCGCCCAACGGCUCCCUCGGCGGCUACCCGGUGAUCGACGCCAUCAAGGCGCAGCUCGAGAAGGCCUGCCCGGGCGUCGUCUCCUGCGCCGACAUCGUCGCGCUCGCCGCCCGCGACGCCGUCUCCUACCAGUUCAAGGCCUCGCUCUGGCAGGUGGAGACCGGCCGCCGGGACGGCCCCGUCUCGCUCGCCAGCAACACCGGCGCGCUGCCCUCGCCCUCCGCCGGCUUCAACGGCCUGCUGCAGAGCUUCGCCGCCAAGGGGCUCGACGUCAACGACCUCGUCGCGCUCUCCGGCGCGCACACCAUCGGCAAGGCCAGCUGCUCCAGCGUCACGCCCAGGCUGUACCAGGGCAACGCCACCAGCAUCGACCCCCUGCUCGACUCCACCUACGCCAAGACGCUCAUGAACGCCUGCCCCAACAAUCCCGCUUCCACGUCCACGGUGGACCUGGACGGCGCCACGCCGUUCAAGUUCGACGGCAGCUACUACACCAACCUGCAGAACAAGCGGGGAGUGCUCGCCUCCGACGCCGCGCUCACGCAGAACGCCGCUGCCGCGACUAUUGUCAACGACCUGACCAACCCGAUCAAGUUCUACGCCGCCUUCUCCAUGUCCAUGAAGAAGAUGGGACGCGUCGACGUGCUCACCCUCAAGAACGGACAAGGGAAGAUCAGGACCAAGUGCAAUGUGCCGUGA